UUCUUUCAAAGCGCUUGAUAACACUAGUUUACUUGGGCUGAUGUGGUUGUGGGGAGUUCACUUGUUUGGUUCUCUUUACCUUUGUUGUUCUCCUUCGAGGAGUAGAAGUUGGGAUUAGGCUUAAAGGUAACCCUUGCUACAUGAUGGGAGUAUUUCCAAGAAGCUUAAGCUAUAGAUAACGGUGGAAGGGAAAUAAGAGAGAGUAGGGGAUGAAAUGUUGGCAUUGCAGCAUGCAUUUGGUGGACUAUCUGGCUGAAAAGGAAUUCAAGAUGUUUUGAAGGCUCUGCAAAUCCUGAACAGAAGAUUAGAAUGAAUUGUAUAUCUUUGUUUCACUUUUGGUGUGAAGUGCUUUAGUACAAGAUGUAGAGUCUCUAGUUGAUCUCAUUGGGUCCUUGUAAAUGACACAAGAUUUGUUCUUCUAUGCUUGUUUUUGUUCAUCUUCCUCUUAUUUUGGAUGUCUUGUAACUAGGGACCUUUCUCUCAGCACUAUCUUGG
RNAcentral lists this long non-coding RNA (495 nucleotides) under Nicotiana benthamiana. RNAcentral describes it as "long non-coding RNA (NBEN_LNC039761)". Lineage: Eukaryota; Viridiplantae; Streptophyta; Magnoliopsida; Solanales; Solanaceae. The record is from RNAcentral.